CCUUCGAUAGCUCAGUUGGUAGAGCGGUGGACUGUAGAGGUAGCUUCAUUAAGGUAGAUAUCCAUAGGUCGCUGGUUCAAAUCCGGCUCGAAGGA
RNAcentral lists this transfer RNA (95 nucleotides) under Camponotus floridanus (Florida carpenter ant). It matches the Rfam family "tRNA". From Rfam's summary of the family: Transfer RNA (tRNA) molecules are approximately 80 nucleotides in length. Lineage: Eukaryota; Metazoa; Arthropoda; Insecta; Hymenoptera; Formicidae. The record is from Rfam by way of RNAcentral.